This 492-nucleotide ribosomal RNA is filed under the name uncultured bacterium. RNAcentral's name for it is "partial 16S ribosomal RNA". It matches the Rfam family "Bacterial small subunit ribosomal RNA", at positions 29 to 507 of the family's 1533-position model. The record is from RNAcentral.
AGUGAACGCUGGCGGUAGGCCUAACACAUGCAAGUCGAACGGCAGCACAGUAAGAGCUUGCUCUUACGGGUGGCGAGUGGCGGACGGGUGAGGAAUACAUCGGAAUCUACUUUUUCGUGGGGGAUAACGUAGGGAAACUUACGCUAAUACCGCAUACGACCUACGGGUGAAAGCAGGGGAUCUUCGGACCUUGCGCGAUUGAACGAGCCGAUGUCGGAUUAGCUAGUUGGCGGGGUAAAGGCCCACCAAGGCGACGAUCCGUAGCUGGUCUGAGAGGAUGAUCAGCCACACUGGAACUGAGACACGGUCCAGACUCCUACGGGGGGCAGCAGUGGGGAAUAUUGGACAAUGGGCGCAAGCCUGAUCCAGCCAUACCGCGUGGGUGAAGAAGGCCUUCGGGUUGUAAAGCCCUUUUGUUGGGAAAGAAAAGCAGCAGGUUAAUACCCCGCUGUUCUGACGGUACCCAAAGAAUAAGCACCGGCUAACUUCGUG